Molecule: long non-coding RNA, 1032 nt
Filed under: Gossypium raimondii (Peruvian cotton)
Lineage: Eukaryota; Viridiplantae; Streptophyta; Magnoliopsida; Malvales; Malvaceae
Description: long non-coding RNA (GRAI_LNC010280)
Source: RNAcentral
CAUUAUUAGACCUUCUUUGUUUCGCGCUAUGAUCCCUGAGAUAGAACAUUUUGUUAUUUGAUUAAAGGAAGAGUCAAAGUUGAUUUUUAUGGUGUCAUUAACCGGUGGUUCCCAAACUAAAUGUCCAACGUCACAUGAGUUCUUUAAUCUCUCACUCUCAACAUUUGUCUCUGCAUAGUAGGCCUUAAUAAAUCCCACAACUUCAGUAACUGACUCUCGUACACCAUCAUGAUAAAGCUUAUUACGAUUAUGCCAGAUUGGCCAAAAUGUAAUGGCUCUAAUUUUACAUGCAUCUAGGCUCUGGUUUUCAAAUUCUGUUGCUAACCACUUCUUCCAACUGUUCUCUCUGUUGCAUGUUGGGACUGCCAUUCCCAAACCCCGCAAGACUUGCUGCGUGAAUAAGCAACGUCUAAAUAGGUGAUCCGCCGAUUCCUCUUCAGUUUGACACAUCGGACACCAAGUGUUGACAACCAAAUUCUGGGCUUUUAAAUUAUGUAAAGUAGGUAGAAAGUCAUUAGCAAAUCUCCAUAGAAAAAUUCGUAUUUUGCUUGGAAUUUUGAGCUCCCAAAGCCUUGUAAAGAAAGUAGUAGGGAUUUCAUUAUUUAAUCUUGUACCCCCCUCUGUAAUGAGCCAUCUAUAGCCACUUUUAGCUGUAUAUAUCCCAGUAUUGUCGCCACGCCAUACUAGAACAUCCUGUAUCCUGUUGUUCACCAACGGAAUUGAAAUUAUAUGCUGCAGUUUCUCUUCUCCGAACAGCGUGCGACUAAUUCCUUGUUUCCAGGUAUAAUCUUCCUUGUUAAUUAAAUCCGAUACUUUAGAAUAUCUGAUAUCAAUAUUUUGACGUUCAACUCUACCACUGCCAGGUCCAGGAAGCCACCUAUCAUUCCAUAUGUUAACUGAAUCUCCGUUACCAAUUCGCCAUCCCACUCCUUCCUCGAGAAGAUAUCUAGCUCCCAGAAUACUUCGCCAGGUAUACGAAGGGUAAGCGCCUAACCCUGCACUCAUAAAAUCCCCCUUCGGAAAAUACUUGGC